GGCCUCCUAACACUUACCACAGGCUGUGUUUGUUACACUGACUGUAUAGAAAGAGGAGGCACAGUAAAUGCUCCCCAUAUACAUGUCAAACUAGGCCCUUUGCCUGGUCUGUAUUGUGAAUGGGGUACAAAA
Small nucleolar RNA from Suncus etruscus (white-toothed pygmy shrew), 132 nucleotides. RefSeq annotates it as small nucleolar RNA SNORA51. The record is from RefSeq and is a predicted model, not a curated record. NCBI's taxonomy places the organism in Eukaryota, Metazoa, Chordata, Mammalia, Eulipotyphla, Soricidae. The transcript has a single exon.